GCCAGCCUAGCUCAGUUGGUAGAGCAGCUCAUUCGUAAUGAGCAGGUCGUCGGUUCGAGUCCGAUGGCUGGCUCCA
Molecule: transfer RNA, 76 nt
Filed under: Opitutales bacterium
Lineage: Bacteria; Pseudomonadati; Verrucomicrobiota; Opitutia; Opitutales
Also listed under: 1 other name
Description: tRNA-Thr
Rfam family: tRNA
About the family: Transfer RNA (tRNA) molecules are approximately 80 nucleotides in length. Their secondary structure includes four short double-helical elements and three loops (D, anti-codon, and T loops).
Source: RNAcentral